This 214-nucleotide ribosomal RNA is filed under the name uncultured bacterium. RNAcentral describes it as "partial 16S ribosomal RNA". It matches the Rfam family "Bacterial small subunit ribosomal RNA", at positions 1287 to 1500 of the family's 1533-position model. The record is from RNAcentral.
CUCAGUUCAGAUUGCAGGCUGCAACUCGCCUGCAUGAAGUCGGAAUUGCUAGUAAUCGUAGGUCAGCAUACUACGGUGAAUACGUUCCCGGGCCUUGUACACACCGCCCGUCAAACCAUGAGAGUUGGCAACACCCGAAGUCGGUAGUCUAACCGCAAGGAGGACGCCGCCGAAGGUGGGGUCGAUGAUUAGGGUUAAGUCGUAACAAGGUACC